UGGGGAAUUUUGGACAAUGGGCGAAAGCCUGAUCCAGCCAUGCCGCGUGCAGGAUGAAGGCCUUCGGGUUGUAAACUGCUUUUGUACGGAACGAAAAGACUCCUUCUAAUAAAGGGGGUCCAUGACGGUACCGUAAGAAUAAGCACCGGCUAACUACGUGCCAGCAGCCGCGGUAAUACGUAGGGUGCGAGCGUUAAUCGGAAUUACUGGGCGUAAAGCGUGCGCAGGCGGUUAUAUAAGACAGUUGUGAAAUCCCCGGGCUCAACCUGGGAACUGCAUCUGUGACUGUAUAGCUAGAGUACGGUAGAGGGGGAUGGAAUUCCGCGUGUAGCAGUGAAAUGCGUAGAUAUGCGGAGGAACACCGAUGGCGAAGGCGAUCCCCUGGACCUGUACUGACGCUCAUGCACGAAAGCGUGGGGAGCAAACA
RNAcentral lists this ribosomal RNA (427 nucleotides) under uncultured bacterium. RNAcentral's name for it is "bacterial SSU rRNA". It matches the Rfam family "Bacterial small subunit ribosomal RNA", at positions 355 to 774 of the family's 1533-position model. The record is from RNAcentral.